RNAcentral lists this ribosomal RNA (253 nucleotides) under uncultured bacterium. Its description in RNAcentral is "partial 16S ribosomal RNA". It matches the Rfam family "Bacterial small subunit ribosomal RNA", at positions 524 to 776 of the family's 1533-position model. The record is from RNAcentral.
UACGGAGGGUGCAAGCGUUGUUCGGAAUUACUGGGCGUAAAGCGCGUGUAGGCGGCCUGGUAAGUCGGAUGUGAAAGCCCUCGGCUUAACCGGGGAAGUGCAUCUGAAACUGCCUGGCUUGAGUACGGGAGAGGGAGGCGGAAUUCCCAGUGUAGAGGUGAAAUUCGUAGAUAUUGGGAGGAACACCGGUGGCGAAAGCGGCCUCCUGGACCGAUACUGACGCUGAGACGCGAAAGCGUGGGGAGCAAACAGG